UGCUUACAUCCUGUUUCUGUUACUGUUAGAGCUACUGAUGCACUUUACAGUCAUAUCUGAUUAGUACCGGCCAAGUGGCAUUAUUUGAUGGGUCAUUAUUUGUCUGGAGGUUGGGGCACUUCCUUCCAGAGAGAUUCAGUACUGGGACAGGAUGAGGUGCAGGUCCUUGCUGCCCACAUC
RNAcentral lists this long non-coding RNA (180 nucleotides) under Dromaius novaehollandiae (emu). Its description in RNAcentral is "lncRNA (ENSDNVG00000017285.1)". The record is from RNAcentral. Lineage: Eukaryota; Metazoa; Chordata; Aves; Casuariiformes; Dromaiidae.